This 408-nucleotide ribosomal RNA is filed under the name uncultured bacterium. RNAcentral's name for it is "bacterial SSU rRNA". It matches the Rfam family "Bacterial small subunit ribosomal RNA", at positions 506 to 916 of the family's 1533-position model. The record is from RNAcentral.
UGUCAGCAGCCGCGGUAACACGUAGGGGGCGAGCGUUGUUCGGAAUUACUGGGCGUAAAGGGCAUGUAGGCGGUUCUGUAAGCCUGACGUGAAAGGCUAUGGCUCAACCAUGGCACUGCGUUGGGAACUGCGGGACUUGAAUCACGGAGAGGGAGCUGGAAUUCCAGGUGUAGGGGUGAAAUCUGUAGAUAUCUGGAAGAACACCAGUGGCGAAGGCGAGCUCCUGGCCGAUGAUUGACGCUGAGGUGCGAAAGUGUGGGGAUCAAACAGGAUUAGAGACCCUGGUAGUCCACACCAUCAACGAUGUGCACUAGGUGCUGGGGCGGACGCUUCAGUGCCGGAGCUAACGCGGUAAGUGCACCGCCUGGGGAGUAUGCUCGCAAGGGUGAAACUCAAAGAAAUUGACGG